Pseudophryne corroboree (corroboree frog) is the source of this 454-nucleotide long non-coding RNA. RefSeq lists it as uncharacterized. The transcript has 4 exons. The record is from RefSeq and is a predicted model, not a curated record. NCBI's taxonomy places the organism in Eukaryota, Metazoa, Chordata, Amphibia, Anura, Myobatrachidae.
CAGUAACAGUGACAUGGCCAGCUGAUUGCAGCUGGCGACCCGGCCAAUAUACACUGCUGCCCAGGUUGCGGGUACUCCAGUCUCAGCAGUACACCCUGAUGGUGGCCCUAGCGGGUGGCACAGCUAGGUUGGCACCCUUCAUUGGCUGGCGCCCCUGUUACCAAGUUUAUUCCAAAAGGACAUCGUAAUUAGGAAAUCCAACAAUCCCAUGUGCAAAGAAGCAGUUGAUAACGUUAUUUGGAACCUGACGCUACAGAAAAGUGUGUUACGUUGUACUGCAGAGAUAACAUAAAAAGUUACAGGAAUAAAUGAAAGCUGCUGAACCACAACAAACAGCUCCACCCAAAAGGCAGCAGACAGAAAUGGACAUGCAGGAGGCUGGCAAGUGACCCAAAAAACCCCAACAAAACACACAUUUCCAUGGUUCAGCAGAUCUCUGUAACCUAAGUGUAAU